UCGAAACCUGCCCAGCAGAGCGACCCGCGAACACGUUCAACCUCGUGGGUGUUGGGGCGUAGCUCGGUGCCUCGUGUGCCGGCUCGUCCCUCUCCCAGGCCGGGGAACGCUCACUCGUGGGCUGUUCCCUCGGCUAAACAACGAACCCCGGCGCGUAAUGCGUCAAGGACUAUGAACUCUAUGUGUGUGCUCUCCAGCUGCCCGGUUAGCCGGGCGUUGGGGUGGUGCCAUGUCUUAACAAUA
Molecule: ribosomal RNA, 243 nt
Filed under: Silene niceensis
Lineage: Eukaryota; Viridiplantae; Streptophyta; Magnoliopsida; Caryophyllales; Caryophyllaceae
Source: RNAcentral